AGUGAACGCUGGCGGUAGGCCUAACACGUGCAAGUCGAACGGCAGCACAGUAAGAGCUUGCUCUUACGGGUGGCGAGUGGCGGAUGGGUGAGGAAUACAUAGGAAUCUACUUUUUCGUGGGGGAUAACGUAGGGAAACUUACGCUAAUACCGCAUACGACCUACGGGUGAAAGCAGGGGAUCUUCGGACCUUGCGCGAUUGAAUGAGCCGAUGUCGGAUUAGCUAGUUGGCGGGGUAAAGGCCCACCAAGGCGACGAUCCGUAGCUGGUCUGAGAGGAUGAUCAGCCACACUGGAACUGAGACACGGUCCAGACUCCUACGGGAGGCAGCAGUGGGGAAUAUUGGACAAUGGGCGCAAGCCUGAUCCAGCAAUGCCGCGUGGGUGAAGAAGGCCUUCGGGUUGUAAAGCCCUUUUGUUGGGAAAGAAAAGCAGCGGGUUAAUCCCCCGCUGUUCUGACGGUACCCAAAGAAUAAGCACCGGCUAACUUCGUG
RNAcentral lists this ribosomal RNA (492 nucleotides) under uncultured bacterium. Its description in RNAcentral is "partial 16S ribosomal RNA". It matches the Rfam family "Bacterial small subunit ribosomal RNA", at positions 29 to 507 of the family's 1533-position model. The record is from RNAcentral.